Sus scrofa (pig) is the source of this 4219-nucleotide RNA transcript. It is a transcript of the gene named galactosidase beta 1 like, with no coding region annotated. The record is from RefSeq and is a predicted model, not a curated record. NCBI's taxonomy places the organism in Eukaryota, Metazoa, Chordata, Mammalia, Artiodactyla, Suidae.
AGUCCGCGCCGCCGUAACGGCCAGCGGUAUCCUAGCAACCGCCUGGCACUCGGACGAUGCGGGGGCGCAGAGCUGAGAGGCCAGGGGCUGGCUAGGCCUGCCGGAGGACGGGUCCCAGGACCCGGGUGAGGGUUCCACGCCUGGCCUUCAGUGGGGGUCAAGACGCGGACACCUACGCCAAAGGGGAGUAAAGCCGGGCUCGGCCCCGAGCCCCCAGGACCUCCAUCUCCCAAUGCCGGAGGAAUCUGCCACGUGACAGUCGGACCACCGUCUCUGAAGAGCCCUAAAAGUGCCAUGGCUCCCGAGAAGCCUUUCUGCCUACCCUCCCUGCUGCUGCCGCUCCUGACACUGCUGCUGCCGCCCCAGGCAGACACUCGGUCGUUUGUAGUGGAUCGGAACCACGACAGAUUCCUCCUGGAUGGGGUCCCGUUCCGCUACGUGUCUGGCAGCCUGCACUACUUCCGGGUACCGCGGGUGCUGUGGGCAGACCGGCUUUUCAAGAUGCGAAUGAGUGGCCUCAACGCCAUACAGUUUUAUGUGCCCUGGAACUACCAUGAGCCAGAGCCUGGGGUCUAUAACUUUAAUGGCAGCCGCGACCUCUUUGCAUUUCUGAAAGAGGCAACUUUAGCGAACCUGUUGGUCAUACUAAGACCAGGACCUUACAUCUGUGCAGAAUGGGAAUGGGGGGUCUCCCAGCCUGGUUGCUUCGAAAACCUAAAAUUCACCUGAGAACCUCAGAUCCAGACUUCCUGGCCGCAGUAGACUCCUGGUUCAAGGUCUUGCUGCCCAAGAUAUACCCAUGGCUUUACCACAAUGGAGGCAACAUCAUUAGCAUUCAGGUGGAGAAUGAAUACGGUAGCUACAGGGCCUGCGACGUGAAGUACAUGAGGCACCUGGCUGGGCUCUUCCGUGCGCUGCUGGGAGACAAGAUCUUGCUCUUCACCACAGACGGGCCCGAAGGACUCAAAUGCGGCUCCCUCCAGGGACUCUAUACCACUGUAGAUUUUGGCCCAGCUGACAACAUGACCAAAAUCUUUGCCCUGCUUCGGAAGUAUGAACCCCACGGGCCACUGGUGAACUCUGAGUACUACACAGGCUGGCUGGAUUACUGGGGCCAGAAUCACUCCACACGCUCUGUUCCAGCUGUAACCAAAGGACUAGAGAAGAUGCUAGAGUUGGGAGCCAGUGUGAACAUGUACAUGUUCCAUGGAGGUACCAACUUUGGAUACUGGAAUGGUGCUGAUGAGAAGGGACGCUUUCUUCCGAUCACUACCAGCUACGACUACGAUGCACCCAUCUCUGAAGCAGGGGACCCCACACCUAAGUUUUUUGCUAUCCGAAAUGUCAUCAGCAAGUUCCAGGAAAUUCCCUUGGGACCUUUACCUCCCCCCAGCCCCAAGAUGAUGCUUGGACCUCUGACCCUACAAUUGGAUGGGGAUUUGCUGGCUUUCCUAGAUUUCCUGUGCCCACAAGGGCCCAUCCAUUCAAUCUUGCCAAUGACCUUUGAGGCUGUCAACCAGGACCGUGGCUUUAUGUUGUACCGGACCCAUCUGACCCAUACUGUUUCUGAGCCAACACAGUUCUGGGUGCCAAACAAUGGAGUCCAUGACCGUGCCUACGUCAUGGUGGAUGGGGUGUUUCAAGGUGUUUUGGAAAGAAACAUGGAACACAACCUAUUUUUGAUGGGGAAAAGGGGAGCCAAACUGGAUGUUUUGCUGGAGAACAUGGGGAGGCUCAGUUUCGGGUCUAACAGCAGUGACUUCAAGGGCCUAUUAGAGCCGCCCAUUCUGGGGCAAACAAUCCUUACCCCGUGGCUGAUGUUCCCUCUGAAAGUGGAUAAUCUUGUAAAGUGGUGGUUUCCCAUCCAGUUGCUAAAAACCCCCCAUCCUCAAAUUCCCUCUGGCCCCACCUUCUACUCUACGACCUUUCCAGUUUUCGACUCAGGCGGGGACACAUUCCUCUAUCUACCUGGAUGGACCAAGGGCCAAGUCUGGAUCAAUGGGUUUAACUUGGGCCGCUACUGGACAAAGCGGGGCCCACAGCAGACCCUCUACGUGCCAAGACCCCUGCUCUUUCCUAGGGGAGCCCUCAACAAAAUCACAGUGCUGGAGCUAGAAAAUGUGCCUCCUCAGCCCCAAAUCCAGUUCCUGGAUAGGCCUAUCCUCAAUAGCACUCUGCAUAAGACAUACAUCUAUUCCCUCUCAACUGAUAUACAAGGUGACUCUGAACCAAUGGAGUUGAGUGGGCACUGAAAGAAAGGUAACCCUUGGACCUGGGACACGGAGCGGGCAGGAUCCCUGGUGCUAUGCUAGCCACAGUGACCACAAGGAACCAAAGGCCACAGGCCUGAGUCUAAGUACAAGGGCAGCUUCCUUGCCAAACUUUAUUGUGAUUAAAGUUCCGGAGACAGUACCAGCUCCACACACCUCUGUGGCCCUCUUUGCCCUGCUUCCCCAGCGUCCCUCACCUUGAUCUUCCAAAUGCCCUCCGGUUUUGUGGGGAAGAAGAAACCUAGGGCCAGUGUGAAUGUGCCUGCCCAGGGCCUAGCAGUGGCCCCAGGUGGAGCUGCCAGAGAUCAGGAAGAGGGCUUCCCGGCCUGACGGCGAUGCUCCUGGAGGCAGCGUGUGGAGCAGAAAGAGAAGUCGAGGUAGUGAAAGGGAAUGAGGCCUUGGAGGGAUGUCCCACAGCUCCAGCAGCGUCUGCACAAGAGGAAGAAGAACGGCUGGGCAGGUUUCCCAGAGACUUGCCCAUCCAAGCUUGUCCUAUCCCUCCUCCUGCCGCUUCUCUUUUUAUUCCAGAGGUUCCCAGAACAUCUCAAAUCCCCACAUCAGCCUUUCUGAACAUGGAGCAGGCACUCUGUACUUGUCCAGAAUGAUCCCUACGACAUCACAAGCCCCCCACGUACCGUACGUUGCCAACUGCAGGGUGAGGGAUCUGCGGGGUGGGGGCUCCCACUGGGCAGCUAGUCGGCGCUCUGCAGCCAGAGCUCUCUGAGGGGAGGAGAAGUUGUAUUGAGGACAAGGCUCCAGUGAUGGAGACAGUACCCAAGAAGUGACAGCCGUGCACCAGGGAAGGGAUCCGACCUCUCAGGAAGUCUUGCUGUGGAAGGAAAAACCUCUGGCCUCACCUUCUCUCGGUCACUGAGGGCAGCAAAUCGCCUCUGCUCUUCUUGCUCCUGCUUGUCCUGCUCCUGCCGCUUCCGCUGCUGCUCCUCCCGGUGCCGCCGGGCUGCCUUCUGCUCCCUUUUCCGAGUGGCCUGCCGGGCUUCCAUUUCUGCUGUCAGUGGCCCUGGCACCUGGAGGAUUUCCGGGAAGGUAUAAGCUGACCUGAGCCUUGUUGUAAUCGUAAGCAUCUGGAUGCUUCUCCAUGAACCUCCGGAACUCAUUACGUGUCGAUUUAUCAGCUGCAACCGUAUACGGGGGCCGGUUCCGGGAGUCCCUAGGUGCAAAAACCCCCCAAGAUGGGUUCAUUUUGCCUCCUGCACCUCCGGCGUCACCCAAGCAGACCAAGGGAAAUACUGUCAAGUAGCCAAUGCCCAGGUUAGCCUCCAGAACAUUCUCUGCAUACCCCCAGAGGGAUCAGCAAUGAGACCCUUACUUACUGUACAGUGGGGUCCGCACCUGCAUCCAGCAGCAGGUGAACCACUGAGCCUCUCCCAGCUGCGGCUGCUGCGUGCAGGAGGGUGAAGCCACCGGAGCCCAAUGGGGCACUGAGCAGAGACAGAACUCGAGGGUCCACGGGGCUGGCAGCUAGCCAGGGCUUCAGCAGCCCCACAUCGCCAGCUCGGCACGCGGCCAGAAGCACAUCCCAGAGCUCUGGUUGACCAGGGAGCUUGGCCUCCUCCUGGGGAGGCCCCAGAGGGGCUGCCUGUGAGAAGGCCUCAUCUUCUGGAGGUUGCUGAGGAAGAGUCAUUUGUGCCCCAGCCUCCAGGUCUCGUUUCCUCUCCCUCUUAUUCCUUUUCCUCUUCCUCUGCUUGGGCAGUACCUCAAACUCACGCAGAUCCAGGGUCCCCAGUGUCAACUCCACUAGCUCCAACUCUACCUGGGAGCCAUCCUCUCCCUCUGACUCAGAACCUAGGGGAAAAUUUGAUACGUUAGAUCCUUCUAAAGAAUAAGCAGAAGGUCGAAGGGUGUGUGGGCCACCCCAUAUGCAUAUGAAUGUACGUAAAAAGGUAAUUCAGAUCAUCUUGCAAUAAAAUUGUUUGUAUUUUAUCACCCAA